UUCAGCUGUUCUUCAGAGAUGGAUGACCUGGAUAGGACGAUCCGGAUUGACAUCAUGUGGAGGGAUGCACUUGGUAUUCCUUCGAGGAGGAGGAGCCCGUCUGAGGAGGACCAGCUGUUUGAGGAACUGAUGGAAGAGGGACGACUGGAUGAGGAGAGGCUUCGUUUGAUAGAUGAGAGCUUGCGGGCGGCCGAGGAGGAGCUGCGGCUACUGAGAGAAGAGAC
Saccostrea cuccullata (small rock oyster) is the source of this 224-nucleotide long non-coding RNA. RefSeq lists it as uncharacterized. The transcript is spliced from 3 exons. NCBI's taxonomy places the organism in Eukaryota, Metazoa, Mollusca, Bivalvia, Ostreida, Ostreidae. The record is from RefSeq and is a predicted model, not a curated record.